This 468-nucleotide ribosomal RNA is filed under the name uncultured bacterium. RNAcentral describes it as "partial 16S ribosomal RNA". It matches the Rfam family "Bacterial small subunit ribosomal RNA", at positions 28 to 507 of the family's 1533-position model. The record is from RNAcentral.
GACGAACGCUGGCGGCGUGCUUAACACAUGCAAGUCGAACGGAAAGGCCCUGCUUUUGUGGGGUGCUCGAGUGGCGAACGGGUGAGUAACACGUGAGUAACCUGCCCUUGACUUUGGGAUAACUUCAGGAAACUGGGGCUAAUACCGGAUAGGAUCUCCUGCUGCAUGGUGGGGGUUGGAAAGUUUCGGCGGUUGGGGAUGGACUCGCGGCUUAUCAGCUUGUUGGUGGGGUAGUGGCUUACCAAGGCUUUGACGGGUAGCCGGCCUGGGAGGGUGACCGGCCACAUUGGGACUGAGAUACGGCCCAGACGCCUACGGGAGGCAGCAGUGGGGAAUAUUGCACAAUGGGCGGAAGCCUGAUGCAGCAACGCCGCGUGCGGGAUGACGGCCUUCGGGUUGUAAACCGCUUUCGCCUGUGACGAAGCGUGAGUGACGGUAAUGGGUAAAGAAGCACCGGCUAACUACGUG